Molecule: ribosomal RNA, 465 nt
Filed under: Triticum aestivum (bread wheat)
Lineage: Eukaryota; Viridiplantae; Streptophyta; Magnoliopsida; Poales; Poaceae
Description: partial small subunit ribosomal RNA
Source: RNAcentral
AUGCUGGCUUUUGGUGUCUUCUACUAUGGUGAUGGGAAUGCUUGUGCACGCAAGCUCUCUAUGUCUGUCCCCUACAAGCGGUGCACACUCGAGUAUGAAGUGGCGCUUCGGCCACGCUCGGUCGAGGCCACCAUCAGUAUCAAGGUCAUUGAUGGGUCAUGGCCAGAGAACCACCAUGGACAAGUCGUUGCCCUCACCUCCGGUGUGGAUGGGAAGGUCAUCCUGCUAGACGGAGAACUGCCCGUCGGUCCGGACGGCGCGAUCGAGCUCUCAAGGCGAGUUGUUUCUGUGGAUUUAAGAGAGAAACUGAUAGUUGCUGUGGAUGCUUCCCUGUCCGGUUUUCCCGCGCAAGCCACCGCCGAAUUCAUGCCGGAGAACUCUGGCAUGAGCGGCCGCAUUUGCGACCUCGGUUCCUGCAAGAUUCAAGUCACCGUUGCUUGGUCCCUCUUUGUUAUUGUUUUGUGA